Molecule: long non-coding RNA, 225 nt
Organism: Helianthus annuus (common sunflower)
Lineage: Eukaryota; Viridiplantae; Streptophyta; Magnoliopsida; Asterales; Asteraceae
Exons: 3
Source: RefSeq, a predicted model, not a curated record
GAUGGAGAAAGGUGCGGAGAUGCCACUACAAAAAAAAAAUGCUACAUGUGGAGACAUAGGCAACAAAGAAAAUGAGGCAAAAGAUCAAGAGACGAUAACUACAACAAACAAGAACAACGAAACACAAAACAUGCAAGGAUUGUUUGAUGCGCCUACCUUUCACCUGCUCACACAAGACACCGAAUUAGGUGAUGAUGUCGAUGAUACGCAUGACAAAAAUGAAGA